AAUAGAUACCCGGGUAGUCCACGCGGUAAACGAUGUGUACUGGGUAUGGCGGGAGUUGACCCCUGCCGUGCCGGCGCUAACGCAGUAAGUACACCGCCUGGGGAGUACGGCCGCAAGGCUAAAACUCAAAGGAAUUGACGGGGCCCCGCACAAGCAGCGGAGCGUGUGGUUUAAUUCGACGCAACGCGCAAAACCUUACCAGGGUUUGACGUCUCCGGAAGCUGGCUGAAAGGCUGGCGUGCCCGUAAGGGAGCCGGAAGGCAGGUGUUGCAUGGCUGUCGUCAGCUCGUGUCGUGAGAUGUUGGGUUAAGUCCCGCAACGGGCGCAACCCCUGUCGCCAGUUACGAGGGUGUCUGGCGAGACUGCCGGGAGCAAACCGGAGGAAGGUGGGGAUGAUGUCAAGUCAGCAUGACCCUUACACCCUGGGGCGACACACACGCUACAAUGGCCGGGACAGAGGGCAGCCAAGCGGUAACGCGGAGCCAAUCCCACAAACCCGGCCUCAGUUCAGAUCGUGGCUGCAACUCGCCCACGUGAAGGCGGAGUUGC
This 549-nucleotide ribosomal RNA is filed under the name uncultured bacterium. Its description in RNAcentral is "bacterial SSU rRNA". It matches the Rfam family "Bacterial small subunit ribosomal RNA", at positions 777 to 1335 of the family's 1533-position model. The record is from RNAcentral.